CAUAUCGCGAGACCUCCUCUCCCUCUCCCUCCUCCUCCUCCUCCUUCCCCUCUUUCCCCCUCCCACUCAGUAGUCCUCCAGCCCGGCAUUUUUCAUUCCCAGUGCGGCGGGGGGGCGUGGUUAGAAGGGUAAACGUAAAAGGAAGCAAGAAGGCCUUUCUCGUUUUUCUCUUUUCCCCAACCGAAUGAAGUUCCACCAACACCUCUUCUUCGAAUGAUCCCUCUUGGCGCUACUGUCCCCCGCGCUUUUACUACAAGCCCUAGGGAUUCUGUUCUCGCCCCCACCCCUCCCGGCCUGAGUUCGUUGGACGGGUCCACUUUGGAGCGCCUUGACUCCACCCUCCCCCGCCCUUCCUCGCCCUCCCCCGGCCUGGCACCGGAAGCGGGCUAGCGUGGGCCGCGGGGGGUGUGGGGCCGGAGGGGGAGAUGCGGGUGCCGCUGCUGCUGGGGAGUGGGAGAGGACGGGGCAGAGGGGAGAAGGCCGCCUGGGCCAGGUUUUGGAGCCUGCGGGGGCGUGUGGGAUGACCCUCGGGUCGGCGGUGGACGGCACUUCGCCUAUGGCGACCCCGCACCCCGCCGGUCUCCGUCCCUGCUCCCUGGAGGGGCCGCGGGGAACCCGCGCCUUCCACCUCCCAGAGUCCUCCGGGUCCCCCGUGGGAAACUUCCUCGAUCUGACCCACAGAGCUUCCUCCCCGUCCGCCGACGCUUGGCGCUUAGUGCUUACAGAGGGCUUUGCGCCUCGACCCACUUCCCACUCGUAAAACGGCGUGGAUUAAUCUCGCGGGCACAGUUUUCCUUUUUAGAAUAUGUGAAAGGAUUUCACUUGGCUGCUCAGGAUGCAAAGAAAAUAGAUUCUGAUCCCUGUUCAUAAGAAACUUGUACGGAAUCCAUCCAUAUGUUAAAAAUGAACAUAUCUUAAGGGCUGUUGGCCAUACUGAAAAGUGGGGCAGUGACAACCUGUGUUGUGAUUGAAGCCAAGUGAAACCUUUCAGA
Long non-coding RNA from Sarcophilus harrisii (Tasmanian devil), 992 nucleotides. RefSeq lists it as uncharacterized. The transcript has 3 exons. Lineage: Eukaryota; Metazoa; Chordata; Mammalia; Dasyuromorphia; Dasyuridae. The record is from RefSeq and is a predicted model, not a curated record.